CCCUUAGAUGUUCUGGGCCGCACGCGCGCUACACUGAUGCAUUCAACGAGCCUAUCCUUGACCGACAGGUCCGGGUAAUCUUUGAAUCUGCAUCGUGACGGGGAUAGAUUAUUGCCAUUAUUAAUCUUCAACGAGGAAUGCCUAGUAGGCGCAAGUCAUCAGCUUGCGUCGAUUACGUCCCUGCCCUUUGUACACACCGCCCGUCGCUCCUACCGAUUGGGUGUGCUGGUGAAAUGUUCGGAUCGGCCGUUUGUCGCGGUUUCCGCGUCAUGUGGCUGAGAAGUUCAUUAAACCCUCCCACCUAGAGGAAGGAGAAGUCGUAACA
This 325-nucleotide ribosomal RNA is filed under the name uncultured eukaryote. RNAcentral's name for it is "partial 18S ribosomal RNA". It matches the Rfam family "Eukaryotic small subunit ribosomal RNA", at positions 1470 to 1796 of the family's 1831-position model. The record is from RNAcentral.